RNAcentral lists this long non-coding RNA (780 nucleotides) under Homo sapiens (human). Its description in RNAcentral is "HSALNT0343037". The record is from RNAcentral. Lineage: Eukaryota; Metazoa; Chordata; Mammalia; Primates; Hominidae.
AUCUGAAAUUCAGAAAGAAAAACAACACAUGUUGCCCUAAAACAGAAGGGUCUCACAAAAGACUUUCUUCAAUAAACUGCAGCAAAGAAAAAUUGAUGGAGCAUGAAAAUCUCGGGCUAAUAAUAGUAUAUGAAAGAAGAACAGAAAGUGUGUGCCAAGGUGUGACCCACUGAGAGAACCCUGGAGACAAGAGUGUACAGAUAAUGUAUCACGUAAUUCUAGAUUUUGUCAUGAAUUCCAUGAUGUAUUAAAAUAAUUAUUUCAGGAUAUUAUUGUCCCAUUGGCUUCAAAGGAUAAUGCAGAAAAACUAAGAGCCUCAGAAUUUUUUUAAAGAAAAUCAAAUUAGCUACCACAUUAAAAGUCUAUUUUUAUUUCAUUGUUGAUAUUUUCCAAGAAAAAAUAUAUUUCUAAAAUCUUCGGAAUCCAUUUGUGUGUUACCUUUUAAAACAUAGGAAAAAGGUAAAAUAGGCCAUCAGCUGAAAACACUUGUCUCUCCUGCAGUGCGAUAAUCUACUCACAUGAAAAUAUAAUGAGUCACUUUAAGAAUCAUCACACACAUCUCUUGCAGUUUGCCCAAGUGUUGGGAAUUUGUCAGGAAGAAAGCUACCUAUCAUCUGGUCUUUGGGACCACCAUGUGAUACUAUUCCAAGAUUCUGAAAAUCCAAGCAAUCUCAUUCACUGAGAGAAUAGUCAAAUGAUGUGUACUUUGUGAAAGUCAUACAAUAAAAAGAAAAACAUAACAGUAAAUCAGUUUUAUACUUUAAAUGUGAAAUUUUAGAU